RNAcentral lists this unclassified non-coding RNA (345 nucleotides) under soil metagenome. RNAcentral describes it as "partial contains 5.8S ribosomal RNA, internal transcribed spacer 2, and large subunit ribosomal RNA". The stretch from base 1 to 120 matches the Rfam family "5.8S ribosomal RNA", at positions 35 to 154 of the family's 154-position model. The record is from RNAcentral.
GAUGAAGAACGUAGCGAAAUGCGAUAAGUAAUGUGAAUUGCAGUAUUCAGUGAAUCAUCGAGUCUUUGAACGCACAUUGCGCCCCCUGGUAUUCCGGGGGGCAUGCCUGUCCGAGCGUCAUUGCUGCCCUCAAGCACGGCUUGUGUGUUGGGCUCCGCCCCCCUCCCGGGGGGCGGGCCCGAAAGGCAGCGGCGGCACCGCGUCCGGUCCUCGAGCGUAUGGGGCUUUGUCACCCGCUCUGUAGGCCCGGCCGGCGCCCGCCGGCGACCCCAAUCAAUCUUUCCAGGUUGACCUCGGAUCAGGUAGGGAUACCCGCUGAACUUAAGCAUAUCAAUAAGCGGAGGA